AGGAUCAAUAUGAAUAUACAUGUACACAAAUAAGAUUCCACAACAUAGUACAAUAAGUUGAAGAAUGCUAUAUAUGAAUCCAAUGACAAGUGCAUGCAUGUUGUAUUCUCCCAUUUCAUGAGGGAAGAGAAAUCUUGGAAAAAAAUUGUUAUGUUCAGCUUUCAUCUCAGAUUCAAUUGUUGGGUGGAAAACAGAAUAACAAAACAAAAAGCUUCAUAGAAAGCAAUGAUGAAAAGAAAAAACUACUUAAGAGAUCGACA
RNAcentral lists this long non-coding RNA (260 nucleotides) under Elaeis guineensis (African oil palm). RNAcentral's name for it is "long non-coding RNA (EGUI_LNC015583)". Lineage: Eukaryota; Viridiplantae; Streptophyta; Magnoliopsida; Arecales; Arecaceae. The record is from RNAcentral.